CCUACGGGGGGCAGCAGUCGAGAAUAUUUCACAAUGGGGGAAACCCUGAUGGAGCGACGCCGCGUGGGUGAAGAAGGUCUUCGGAUCGUAAAACCCUGUUGUUAGAGAAGAAAGUGAGUGAGAGUAACUGUUCACGUCUCGACGGUAUCUAACCAGCAAGCCACGGCUAACUACGUGCUAGCAGCCGCGGUAAUACGUAGGUGGCAAGCGUUAUCCGGAGUUAUUGGGCGUAAAGGGAACGCAGGCGGUCUGUUAAGUCUGAUGUGAAAGCCUUCGGCUUAACCGGAGUAGUGCAUUGGAAACUGGGAGUCUUGAGUGCAGAAGAGGUGGGUGGAAUUCCAUGUGUAGCGGUGAAAUGCGUAGAGAUCUGGAAGAACACCAGUGGCGAAGGCGGCUCUCUGGUCUGUAACUGACGCUGAGGUUCGAAAGCGUGGGUAGCAAACAGGAUUAGAUACCCCUGUAGUC
RNAcentral lists this ribosomal RNA (465 nucleotides) under uncultured bacterium. RNAcentral's name for it is "partial 16S ribosomal RNA". It matches the Rfam family "Bacterial small subunit ribosomal RNA", at positions 338 to 795 of the family's 1533-position model. The record is from RNAcentral.